Molecule: ribosomal RNA, 195 nt
Filed under: uncultured marine eukaryote
Lineage: Eukaryota
Description: partial 18S ribosomal RNA
Source: RNAcentral
GUUGAGGGCGACUGGUCCAUACCACGUAUGCGCAUCUGGCUCGGCCUCGGCAUCCUCUCGAAAUGAUUUUCUGCGCUUGAUUGCGUGGAUUUUUGUUCGGGACUUUUACUUUGAGGAAAUUAGAGUGUUCCACGGCAGGCUAUCGCCAGAAUACAUUAGCAUGGAAUAAUACUAUAGGAUCUCGGUUCUAUUUUG